CCUACGGGUGGCAGCAGUGGGGGAUAUUGCACAAUGGGGGAAACCCUGAUGCAGCGACGCCGCGUGGGUGAAGAAGUAUUUCGGUAUGUAAAGCCCUAUCAGCAGGGAAGAAAGAAGACGGUACCUGACUAAGAAGCCCCGGCUAACUACGUGCCAGCAGCCGCGGUAAUACGUAGGGGGCGAGCGUUAUCCGGAUUCACUGGGUGUAAAGGGAGCGUAGACGGCCGUGCAAGCCAGGAGUGAAAGCCCGGGGCCCAACCCCGGGACUGCUCUUGGAACUGUACGGCUAGAGUGCGGGAGGGGCAGGCGGAAUUCCUGGUGUAGCGGUGAAAUGCUUAGAUAUUGCGCAGAACUCCGAUUGCGAAGGCAGCAUACCGGCGGCGAUCUGACGCUGAGGCACGAAAGCGUGGGUAUCGAACAGGAUUAGAUACCCCAGUAGUC
Molecule: ribosomal RNA, 441 nt
Filed under: uncultured bacterium
Lineage: Bacteria
Description: partial 16S ribosomal RNA
Rfam family: Bacterial small subunit ribosomal RNA
Source: RNAcentral